UGAUUGUAGAGUUCCAUGCAUUUUGACAAAUGCAAAGUCAUGUGAGCCCCUUCGCAGUUAAGACUUACAACAUAUCCGUAUCAUCAGGCUGUUUCCUUCCCUCCAUUUGUAAUCAGCCCCUUCCGUUCCCUCCCAGCCUCCGGCAACCCCUCACCUGUUUUCUGUCGCUAUAGUUGCCUGUUCCAGAAUGCCAUAUACACGAAGUCACACCAUUUGUGACCCUUGGAAUCCGGCUUCCCCCCUGAGCAUAAUGCCUUUGAGAUUCACUCCUGUGUGACGUGUAUCCAUCGCUCCUUUUCAUGGCUGAGAUGUAUUCCAUUAGGGGAUUGUUAUUAUGGGAGCGUACAAGGAAAGAGAGAAAAUAGUGAAGACUCACCAGAAAGAGGACCAGAGCAUGUGGAGACAAAGAUGUUACACCGAGAGGUAUAAAAUGAAACGAAGCUAAAGGAAUGGCUCACAGUGACUGAAUUUUGUAGAUGAUUGAUGAUCGGAAGUUUAAGCCAGCCCCUUGCAGAGGGAAAGAUGAACACUCUGUGCUGCCUUCUCCUGAGGAGCAAGCCAGGAGGUUGAACAUAUUGAUCUCAGAUCAGAAAGAUAAACCACCCACAUUCUGCCUGAAGAAGUGCGUUCUCAACGUCCAAAGACCGAGCCUGAACUUCAGAUCUCCUUCUGCUCUCAAGCUGUGAUAUUCUGAAACCCAAAUCCCAGAGCACUUUGAAACAAGGUCCGUGUUCUGCUGGUCCUACAGCCACGUGUGCACAGCGCUGACUAUUCACAUGGCCGUCAAGUGAGAACAACGUUGGUAUCGCAUGCCGCCUGCUGGUUCAUUCUUUCAGCACCGCCCGAGACCAAAAUGGUGACAAAGGUCAUGAAAGAGGGAAUUAUUCCAGUUUAGAAGACGAUCAAGACUGUCCGUGAGAUAAAGGUGCUGUCCUCUGAGAUUCCACAGUUAAGUGGAAUUAAAUGGGAAAUUUUUGCCUCCUAAUGGAGCACAGUGACACAUGGCCCUGAUGGGUACGACAUCAUUUCUGCUAUACUCUCUUGGUGGAAGGAGUCGAGAGCCCACCUGGAUUCAAAGGACUGGGACAGAGACCCCACCUCUCGAUGGGAGGAGUGUCGAGUGUUUGCAGCAGCUGCUGGAACCACCCUGACUGCGGCAGGGCAAAGAACGGGGUGGUGCCCCCCUGGACGCAGCCGCUGUGCUCCCUGCAGAGGCACCUCGCCACCGCCAAGAGCGACAAUCCCCUGCAAACUGCACCGCCAGCAAACUGCACCGCAGGCCUGCGUCGGGGGGCUCACGGCAGCCUGGUUCACAGACUCUCGGGAGAAAAAUUCCGACGUACAGGACCUGUUACCCAGCCGUGCAUCUCCUCACCUGCAGCAGGUGAAGACACGGAGGCCCCAAGAGGUGACACUACUUAGCAAAGGUCACCCAGCCACCCACCAGCACAUCUGGAUCUCAGACGCAGCGUUCUGGACUCUGGGUUCAGAACCUUUGAAGAAUAUGGUACAGUUAUGCUCACUGAUGGCUUGCCCAUGUCGCUUUUCCCGUGUGCUGUCAUGUAACAAAUUGACUUCAAAGAAUGCCUUCUAUGAAACAUUAGAAAUGAAGCAUGUUCUGUCAUCAGCUGAAAGCAUACGAUGUUCACAAGAACUGUGCUCGAUCGGAGAAUAUUUGGCUCUUGCAAGGUGUCCCCUUGUCCAGGAAGUCUUUCCCUGCAGCGCUGACAUCCAGCCUCGGUUUGACCUGAAGGUAAAGCUGGAGGGCGAGGGCAUACACAGGGUCUCACAAGUAUCUGAGGUCAUCAGUCGCUAAGUAUACCCACACUCUGCAUGAGGAGCUCAGCUCCAAGCAGGAAAUGCCAUCCACUCGUCUUGAUGCUCAGAUGCUGAUGGUCUCUCUGCAGCCUUCCUGCGAUGCCCGAGUUUUCCUUCUGUCCUAGCAAUCUUAGCAGUGUCACCUCUGCUCGUUGACCCCAAACUAAACACAUGAAGAGGGCCUCGUCCACUUCUCUGUGCCUCAGAAUGCUGGGUCUUCCUCCUGCGGGGGCGCCGGCUGAUCCGUCCGUCUUGGGGACCGUCCCUGUGAAAGUCUCGUUGGUUCUUUCCAAGAACUCAUCAAGAGGGAAAACUUACAGUGGUACCAACGUGUAUUGUAACACAAUGCGAGGAAGGUUGACUCAAAGGGGCAUUUUCUAAUAGAAUUUCAGGCAAAAGAACGUGGUUAAAUGGAAAAACAUAGCUUUUAAAAGAAAAUGCUGUUAUGACUAUUGCUUUUUUAAAAAUCUGUAAAAUAAUAUUGUACAAAAAAUUGCUUCCUUUCCCAGUACGUGAACAGUCCCCAUGGAUAACAAAGUCACAUUUCCAAUCAUCCAACUCAUUCACUCAUUGCAAAGGCUCGAUGGCACACCUCUUAGGUUCUAGGCCGUGUGCUGGCCAUGCGAAGGUGAAAGAGACACUGUCCCUCGUAGUCUGUGACAUCUGGGACAAACCAGGAGAGUGGGAGGGGAUCUGGGAAGUCAUACAGCCUAGAGUUGCAUGUAAGACAGGGUCACAUCUAUGACAACUUGGGCGAGUGGCCACUUCUGCUCCCGCCCCUCCCGUGACGGGCACUGCCUGCUUGGGGACGAGUCGCUGUGUUUGCUCAUAUUGCUCCCAAAUUUGUCUUCUUUUAUUUCUGCUUCAUAGUUCUUCUGGUUCUUUCUCUUGGAGCUACACAGAAGGCGCCUGGGAAUUUUGGAGAAAGUCCGUGUGACUCUCGGUUCCCCCGUGUCCUCUUCCCAGUUUCCUGCCGCCAUCCUCGUUGGCUGGGAAUACUCUGCACAAUGGAAGCAAGUCCUCGGGCGCCCGUCUCAGAUUUUGAGCUGGAGCGGAAUCUGGACUCACCGUGGGUUUUAUUGCUGUCUCCCCUAACUUGGUGUGUGUCAUCUGCAGUUUGGUUGAACAUAUUUUAUUUUAAAAUUUGAGGCUGAUCUGGCUGCCGUAUCUUUUCUCAUUGAUUGCCAGGGUUGGAUCAGCGUUUGAGGACUGCAAAGCAAGCAUCCCACACUUCUCCUUAAAUGUGCUCCCCAUUGAAGAAUGUGACCUUCCAGCUUGGAGGAGGAAUUUCCUUCCGUCAAGGGCAUGCCUUCUGUAUCUUCAUCUGGUCAAUUCACAAAAACACCAAGGUGGAACAUGGACUAAUGCAAAAUCUGGCCAUAUACCACUUUUCUCCAGAAGGGUUCAAAUCCAGGUCCCCUUUGGAGUGUAUUUACUGUUCAACCAACCAGGAAUCCAUCUAAUAACUCUAUUGUCCAUCAGGUCCUACAUCACCAUUGUGAAGGAACCUCACAAAUGUGCCACACAUCAAGAUGCAAGGUGUAAACAAUAAUGAUGGCAGUGAACAUGUACCAAGAGCAUUGUGUUAAGGGAUGUCACUAAAUUAUCAAGUGGAGGCUAUACAUUGACUACAGGCGGGGAAAUAAACACUUAGAGAAUUUCAGAAACUUUGCCCACAUCAGACUAGGAAGCGGAGGAGCCGGGUUUGAAGGCAGGCAGGCCAGCCCGAGCGCCCACAGUUGUCACAACUACUUACUCCUUGAUUGUUUUCAAUAUCACCAGUUAUAUGUUUUAAUAAUAAUUCUCUACCUUUUCAUAGACAGUGGUCAAAUUUUUUCUGUAGAAUUUUAAGUAAUGGAUAGAUGAUAGCUUUGGGGAAUGGUGUGGGAAUAUUCUUGCUAAGGACAGAGGUACAGAUUUUUUUUAUUCCAGUUCAAGUUUGCUCUUUUGGUUUUCUUCCAUCCGGCUGCAGUUAACACUUUCAUGUACAAUAUUAUCACCAAGUAUGACGCAUUCCUUUUUAAAAUUAAAGAGCAAACAAGUAAAAAAAUUGAUAUCGUUAACUGCUUUCCUGGAGGCGGUAUACCUUCAGCCUUGUCUCCUG
This 3922-nucleotide long non-coding RNA is filed under the name Equus caballus (horse). Its description in RNAcentral is "lncRNA (ENSECAG00000057543.1)". Lineage: Eukaryota; Metazoa; Chordata; Mammalia; Perissodactyla; Equidae. The record is from RNAcentral.